AUGGAUAAAGGAGGCGGCCCAGCGCGCGACGGCCCGGAUUCAUCUUAUCCGUUUUGUGUCCGGGCUGAUCCAUUUCGAGCGCAAAUUUGCACCGGGUUUGGGUCGCGACGGACACCAAACGGACGUGCGUCUCGUCUGCGUCGGGGCCGCGUGGCAGGCGGCCACCUACCUUCCACCCGCCCACAUCAAUGCACACGAGCGGGCGGCCCCACCUGUCAUCUGCACGUCGAACGGUCGCCGUCCUUCUUUAAGUGGGAAGCGUGGACGGGUCGUCGUCCACACUGCCCCACACCACCCCGCGGCCUCCUCGAAACCCGACAGCCCCAGUCCCAAAACCCUAGCCAACACCUCCCCGGCCGGCCGCCCGCAGCAAUGGGCCUCUGGAAGUCCGGCCGCAAAGGCAAGCACAACCGCGAGGCUGGUUCCUCGUCGGGACGCAGCCGCGGCUCGCCAUCGCCACCACGCCGAGCCCCCGCGCCGCCCGCCUUCUCCAUCGCGCCCACUUCCGCCGGCGACCGCGAUCGGCAUUACGUCUGCUUGUCGGUGUGCCGCCGUUAUUGGAAGACGAGGACGCCGCUCCCCUGGAGCGACGUCCAUCUCCCCAAUAACUGGCAUCUCUCCGCCGACUGGGUCCCGAUCCCGCCGGUCCCGACGAGCGGCCGUGCGAGCGAGAAGGAGAUCGAGCGCCGCCGCCGCCUCCUCCCCGACGACCUCUUCUACGACCCCAGGUACGCCCCCGACUCCGGGCUCUGGGACACCUGGUUUCGUGAUGAGCACGACACCGGUGCGCGACCUUCUUCGCCGGCACCUCGACGGGGCCGCGGCGGCCACGACAGGAGCGCGCAGCGCCUGCUCCCCAGGAGCGCGGGCGUAGGCGGGUGCGCGGCGUCACGCCCACGCCGUCGCCUUCGCCAUCUCCAUCGCCACCACCACCUCCUCGCAUGA
RNAcentral lists this ribosomal RNA (945 nucleotides) under Triticum aestivum (bread wheat). RNAcentral describes it as "partial small subunit ribosomal RNA". The record is from RNAcentral. Lineage: Eukaryota; Viridiplantae; Streptophyta; Magnoliopsida; Poales; Poaceae.